UACAGAGGUCUCAAGCGUUGUUCGGAUUCAUUGGGCGUAAAGGGCUCGUAGGCGGCCAACUAAGUCGGACGUGAAAUCCCCAGGCUCAACCUGGGAACUGCGUCUGAUACUGGAUGGCUUGAAUCCGGGAGAGGGAUGCAGAAUUCCAGGUGUAGCGGUGAAAUGCGUAGAUAUCUGGAGGAAUACCGGUGGCGAAGGCGGCAUCCUGGACCGGCAUUGACGCUGAGGAGCGAAAGCCAGGGGAGCAAACGGG
Molecule: ribosomal RNA, 253 nt
Filed under: uncultured bacterium
Lineage: Bacteria
Description: partial 16S ribosomal RNA
Rfam family: Bacterial small subunit ribosomal RNA
Source: RNAcentral